This 562-nucleotide ribosomal RNA is filed under the name uncultured bacterium. Its description in RNAcentral is "bacterial SSU rRNA". It matches the Rfam family "Bacterial small subunit ribosomal RNA", at positions 338 to 916 of the family's 1533-position model. The record is from RNAcentral.
CCUACGGGAGGCAGCAGUGGGGAAUAUUGGACAAUGGGCGAAAGCCUGAUCCAGCAAUGCCGCGUGAGUGAAGAAGGCCUUCGGGUUGUAAAGCUCUUUUACCCGGGAAGAUAAUGACUGUACCGGGAGAAUAAGCCCCGGCUAACUCCGUGCCAGCAGCCGCGGUAAUACGGAGGGGGCUAGCGUUGUUCGGAAUUACUGGGCGUAAAGCGUACGUAGGCGGCUUUGUAAGUCAGAGGUGAAAGCCCACGACUCAAUCGUGGAACUGCCUUUGAGACUGCUUCGCUUGAAGAUGGGAGAGGUUAGUGGAAUUCCGAGUGUAGAGGUGAAAUUCGUAGAUAUUCGGAAGAACACCAGUGGCGAAGGCGGCUAACUGGACCAUUCUUGACGCUGAGGUACGAAAGCGUGGGGAGCAAACAGGAUUAGAUACCCUGGUAGUCCACGCCGUAAACGAUGAUAACUAGCUGUCGGGGCUCUUGGAGCUUCGGUGGCGCAGCUAACGCAUUAAGUUAUCCGACCUGGGGAGUACGGCCGCAAGGUUAAAACUCAAAGGAAUUGACGG